GUAGGGGCCUAGCGUUGUCCGGAUUUAUUGGGCGUAAAGAGCUCGUAGGCGGUUCAGUCAGUCGGGUGUGAAAACUCCGGGCUCAACUCGGAGACGCCACCCGAUACUGCUGUGACUUGAGUCCGGUAGGGGAGCAGGGAAUUCCAGGUGUAGCGGUGAAAUGCGCAGAUAUCUGGAGGAACACCGGUGGCGAAGGCGCUGCUCUGGGCCGGUACUGACGCUGAGGAGCGAAAGCGUGGGUAGCAAACAGGAUUAGAUACCCUGGUAGUCCACGCCGUAAACGUUGGGCACUAGGUGUGGGUCCUAACCAACGGGAUCCGUGCCGAAGCAAACGCAUUAAGUGCCCCGCCUGGGGAGUACGGCCGCAAGGUUAAA
RNAcentral lists this ribosomal RNA (375 nucleotides) under uncultured bacterium. RNAcentral's name for it is "bacterial SSU rRNA". It matches the Rfam family "Bacterial small subunit ribosomal RNA", at positions 527 to 898 of the family's 1533-position model. The record is from RNAcentral.